GAGUUUGAUCCUGGCUCAGAUUGAACGCUGGCGGCAUGCCUUACACAUGCAAGUCGAACGGCAGCACGGGAGCUUGCUCCUGGUGGCGAGUGGCGAACGGGUGAGUAAUGCAUCGGAACGUAUCCUGGAGUGGGGGAUAACGUAGCGAAAGUUACGCUAAUACCGCAUAUUCUGUGAGCAGGAAAGCGGGGGACCUUCGGGCCUCGCGCUCUUGGAGCGGCCGAUGUCGGAUUAGCUAGUUGGUGAGGUAAAGGCUCACCAAGGCGACGAUCCGUAGCAGGUCUGAGAGGAUGAUCUGCCACACUGGAACUGAGACACAGUCCAGACUCCUACGGGAGGCAGCAGUGGGGAAUUUUGGACAAUGGGGGCAACCCUGAUCCAGCCAUGCCGCGUGAGUGAAGAAGGCC
RNAcentral lists this ribosomal RNA (407 nucleotides) under bacterium enrichment culture clone ALO1_GLFRUDD03FMJET. Its description in RNAcentral is "bacterial SSU rRNA". It matches the Rfam family "Bacterial small subunit ribosomal RNA", at positions 9 to 416 of the family's 1533-position model. The record is from RNAcentral.